This 71-nucleotide transfer RNA is filed under the name Cryptomonas gyropyrenoidosa. RNAcentral's name for it is "tRNA-Gly". It matches the Rfam family "tRNA". From Rfam's summary of the family: Transfer RNA (tRNA) molecules are approximately 80 nucleotides in length. Their secondary structure includes four short double-helical elements and three loops (D, anti-codon, and T loops). Further hydrogen bonds mediate the characteristic L-shaped molecular structure. tRNAs have two regions of fundamental functional importance: the anti-codon, which is responsible for specific mRNA codon recognition, and the 3' end, to which the tRNAs corresponding amino acid is attached (by aminoacyl-tRNA synthetases). tRNAs cope with the degeneracy of the genetic code in two manners: having more than one tRNA (with a specific anti-codon) for a particular amino acid; and 'wobble' base-pairing, i.e. permitting non-standard base-pairing at the 3rd anti-codon position. Lineage: Eukaryota; Cryptophyceae; Cryptomonadales; Cryptomonadaceae. The record is from RNAcentral.
ACAAAUGUAAAUUAAAGGUAAAUUUGUUGCCUUCCAAGCAACCUAUAUGAGUUCGAUUCUCAUCAUUUGUA